Molecule: ribosomal RNA, 390 nt
Filed under: uncultured bacterium
Lineage: Bacteria
Description: bacterial SSU rRNA
Rfam family: Bacterial small subunit ribosomal RNA
Source: RNAcentral
GACGAACGCUGGCGGCGUGCUUAACACAUGCAAGUGGAGCGACGAACCAGGCUUCGGCCUGGGGCAGAGCCGCGAACGGGUGAGUAACACGUGGGUAACGUGCCCCGAUGACUGGGACAACCCGGGGAAACCCGGGCUAAUACCGGAUAUGCCCCCUCACGCGAGUGAGGUGUGUAAAGGAAGCUUCGGCCUCCGCAUCGGGAUCGGCCCGCGGCCCAUUAGCUUGUUGGUGAGGUAACGGCNCACCAAGGCUUCGAUGGGUAGCUGGUCUGAGAGGACGAUCAGCCACACUGGGACUGAGACACGGCCCAGACUCCUACGGGAGGCAGCAGUGGGGAAUCUUGCGCAAUGCGCGAAAGCCUGACGCAGCGACGCCGCGUGAGGGACGAA